CCUACGGGAUGCAGCAGUGAGGAAUAUUGGUCAAUGGACGAGAGUCUGAACCAGCCAAGUAGCGUGAAGGAUGACUGCCCUAUGGGUUGUAAACUUCUUUUAUAAAGGAAUAAAACGAGGCACGUGUGCCUUUUUGCAUGUACUUUAUGAAUAAGGAUCGGCUAACUCCGUGCCAGCAGCCGCGGUAAUACGGAGGAUCCGAGCGUUAUCCGGAUUUCUUGGGAUUAAAGGGAGCGUAGAUGGGUUGUUAAGUCAGUUGUGAAAGUUUGCGGCUCAACCGUAAAAUUGCAAUUGAUACUGGCAGUCUUGAGUACAGUUGAGGUAGGCGGAAUUCGUGGUGUAGCGGUGAAAUGCUUAGAUAUCACGAAGAACCCCGAUUGCGAAGGCAGCUUACUAAACUGUGACUGACAUUGAUGCUCGAAAGUGUGGGUAUCAAACAGGAUUAGAUACCCCAGUAGUC
RNAcentral lists this ribosomal RNA (460 nucleotides) under uncultured bacterium. RNAcentral describes it as "partial 16S ribosomal RNA". It matches the Rfam family "Bacterial small subunit ribosomal RNA", at positions 338 to 795 of the family's 1533-position model. The record is from RNAcentral.